UGCCGCGGAGCGGCUGGGCCCGUGAGCCAUGGCCGCUGGGCCUGCGCGUCCAGAGCCUGUGCUCCGCAGCGGGAGAGGCCACAACAGUGAGAGGCCCUGGGGACCCCCUUGCUGCCCUGGCGAGCCAUCUGUCACAGGUCCCCUAGUCCAGGAUCCAGCCGGUUGACGGGCUGUAAUGUAAACCCUUGAGGGCAGACCCUAGGCUUGUUCCCUCAGAGCCUGGUGGUUCAGUGACUGGCCUUGAGGUCGACCAGAAGCUGGGCUUGAAUCCCAGCUCCCCCACUAAUCAGAUGUGUGACCUUGGGUAAGUGACUCAACUUCCUGAUCUGUCAAAUGGGGAUAUAAUAUUGGGUUUCAUGAAACCAAUCUCAUCAUUUUAGAGAGCCAUAAAGAAUUAAACAUAUAAUUUAUAUAUUAUAUAUUUUAAAAUAUAUAACUUUGUAGAUGGUAUCAAGGAACCCAAGAAACAACAGAGAGACUUAAAAACGGGCUGCCACAUCAGAUGACACUUUGGCCUAAGUUAUGGAAAAUGCAGUUGCUGAAACGUGAAUUCGCCAGCUCGAAGAUAUGCUACUCCAAACGAGGCUAAGAUUCUAAGAUUGCAUGGAUCUUCCUCAGAGUGUACUCUUCUAACAUAGUGGUCAGUGGCAUUGAUCCCGAUGUUCCCUCCUGCUGAGCCCCAGGCUCACCUGUGCCCUUCACCUGGAAGUCAGUGCGGCGCUGCAGCGUGGAUGGCAGCUCAUUCAGCCGUAGGCUCAGCUGCCGUUUGAAAGUAUGAUUUAAGAGUACGUUGCAUACAAUAAACAAGGCAUGGAAACAACCUAAAUGUCCAUCAAUAGAUGAAUGGAGAAAGAAGAUGUGGUAAUAUAUAUAUACAACGGAAUACUACCCA
Long non-coding RNA from Aethalodelphis obliquidens (Pacific white-sided dolphin), 892 nucleotides. RefSeq lists it as uncharacterized. The transcript has 4 exons. The record is from RefSeq and is a predicted model, not a curated record. NCBI's taxonomy places the organism in Eukaryota, Metazoa, Chordata, Mammalia, Artiodactyla, Delphinidae.